UACGUAGGGGGCAAGCGUUGUCCGGAAUCAUUGGGCGUAAAGAGCGUGUAGGCGGCCCGAUAAGUCCGCUGUGAAAGUCCAGGGCUCAACCCUGGAAUGCCGGUGGAUACUGUCGGGCUCGAAUCCGGAAGAGGUGAGUGGAAUUCCUGGUGUAGCGGUGAAAUGCGCAGAUAUCAGGAGGAACACCUAUUGCGAAGGCAGCUCGCUGGGACGUAACUGACGCUGAGACGCGAAAGCGUGGGGAGCAAACAGG
RNAcentral lists this ribosomal RNA (253 nucleotides) under uncultured bacterium. RNAcentral's name for it is "partial 16S ribosomal RNA". It matches the Rfam family "Bacterial small subunit ribosomal RNA", at positions 524 to 776 of the family's 1533-position model. The record is from RNAcentral.